AGAGGAAGUAAAAGUCGUAACAAGGUUUCCGUAGGUGAACCUGCGGAAGGAUCAUUACUGAACCGUCGACACGAGUUGUUGCUGGUCCCCAAACGGGGCAUGUGCACGCUCUGUUUACACAUCCACUCACACCUGUGCACCCUCUGUAGUUCUGUGGUCGGGGGGUCCCAUCCCCUCGCCGUGGUUCUAUGUAUUUACACACACACAACAAAGUCUCAUGGAAUGUUGCCGCGUUUAACGCAAUACAAUACAACUUUCAGCAACGGAUCUCUUGGCUCUCGCAUCGAUGAAGAACGCAGCGAAAUGCGAUAAGUAAUGUGAAUUGCAGAAUUCAGUGAAUCAUCGAAUCUUUGAACGCACCUUGCGCCCUUUGGCUAUUCUGAAGGGCAUGCCUGUUUGAGUAUCAUGAACACCUCAACUCUCAUGGUUCGCCAUGAUGAGCUUGGACUUUGGGGGUCUUGCUGGCCUUUGGUCAGCUCCUCUCAAACGGAUCAGCUUGCCAGUGUUUGGUGGCUCCACAAGUGUGAUAACUAUCUACGCUCGUGGUUUGCCUGCCAGGUAACCUUCAGCGAUGGAGGUUCGCUGGAGCUCACAAACGUCUCUCCUCAGCGAGGGACAGCAUUCGAACGUUUGAUCUCAAAUCAGGUAGGACUACCCGCUGAACUUAAGCAUAUCAAUA
RNAcentral lists this ribosomal RNA (679 nucleotides) under uncultured Tomentella. Its description in RNAcentral is "eukaryotic LSU rRNA". The stretch from base 252 to 406 matches the Rfam family "5.8S ribosomal RNA". The record is from RNAcentral. Lineage: Eukaryota; Fungi; Basidiomycota; Agaricomycetes; Thelephorales; Thelephoraceae.